AUAAUUUCUUCUUUAUUGCUAAUUACAAAAUCUCUGUUCUUAUCAGCUUAAUAUCUGAUAUGUUAGGCAAUGCCUAACUCAUAUAUUAAACUGAUUUUUGGACUUCGGCCAUGGGAUUGAAGCUUGCUUCGCCCUGGCCACGGGUUGCCUCGGUAUUGCACUAUAUCCGAGUACUGCCCCUUCCCC
RNAcentral lists this small nuclear RNA (186 nucleotides) under Paramuricea clavata. RNAcentral's name for it is "U2 spliceosomal RNA". It matches the Rfam family "U2 spliceosomal RNA". From Rfam's summary of the family: U2 is a small nuclear RNA (snRNA) component of the spliceosome (involved in pre-mRNA splicing). Complementary binding between U2 snRNA (in an area lying towards the 5' end but 3' to hairpin I) and the branchpoint sequence (BPS) of the intron results the bulging out of an unpaired adenosine, on the BPS, which initiates a nucleophilic attack at the intronic 5' splice site, thus starting the first of two transesterification reactions that mediate splicing. The record is from Rfam by way of RNAcentral. Lineage: Eukaryota; Metazoa; Cnidaria; Anthozoa; Malacalcyonacea; Plexauridae.